UACGGAGGGUGCGAGCGUUGUCCGGAAUCACUGGGCGUAAAGGGCGCGUAGGUGGCGUCGCAAGUCAACGGUGAAAGCUCGACGCUCAACGUCGAGUCGGCCGUCGAGACUGCGAGGCUUGAGCACUGUAGAGGCAGAUGGAAUUCCGGGUGUAGCGGUGGAAUGCGUAGAGAUCCGGAAGAACACCGGUGGCGAAGGCGGUCUGCUGGGCAGUUGCUGACACUGAGGCGCGACGAGCGUGGGGAGCAAACAGGG
RNAcentral lists this ribosomal RNA (255 nucleotides) under uncultured bacterium. RNAcentral describes it as "partial 16S ribosomal RNA". It matches the Rfam family "Bacterial small subunit ribosomal RNA", at positions 524 to 777 of the family's 1533-position model. The record is from RNAcentral.